GUAAUGACCAAGGCAUAGCUUAGAAUCUCAAUAAGUUCUUGAUGCAUAAAUCCCAUGUUUCGUGUCCCAAAAAAGCCAAUAUUUCUUGGACCUUGUUGUUGAAUAGCUAACAACUCCUGCAGAUAGUCCACAUCCGGAACUGGCUUAUACUCUGACACCAAAACUGAUCCUGAGCCUUCAACAAGAGUCUGAACUUGAGUUGGAAUCUGAGAGCUGAGUUCUUCAUCAGAACCAAACAUCUGAAUUGCAUAAUCAUCUUCUUUCCUCAAAUUAUCAUUGCUGCAAUAUCUUUCAGCAUCUCCAUCUGGC
This 309-nucleotide unclassified non-coding RNA is filed under the name Hevea brasiliensis (rubber tree). Lineage: Eukaryota; Viridiplantae; Streptophyta; Magnoliopsida; Malpighiales; Euphorbiaceae. The record is from RNAcentral.